GGGGCAGGGUGAGUCGACCCCUAAGGCGAGGCCGAAAGGCGUAGUCGAUGGGAAACAGGUUAAUAUUCCUGUACUUGGUGUUACUGCGAAGGGGGGACGGAGAAGGCUAUGUUGGCCGGGCGACGGUUGUCCCGGUUUAAGCGUGUAGGCUGGUUUUCCAGGCAAAUCCGGAAAAUCAAGGCUGAGGCGUGAUGACGAGGCACUACGGUGCUGAAGCAACAAAUGCCCUGCUUCCAGGAAAAGCCUCUAAGCAUCAGGUAACAUCAAAUCGUACCCCAAACCGACACAGGUGGUCAGGUAGAGAAUACCAAGGCGCUUGAGAGAACUCGGGUGAAGGAACUAGGCAAAAUGGUGCCGUAACUUCGGGAGAAGGCACGCUGAUAUGUAGGUGAAGUCCCUUGCGGAUGGAGCUGAAAUCAGUCGAAGAUACCAGCUGGCUGCAACUGUUUAUUAAAAACACAGCACUGUGCAAACACGAAAGUGGACGUAUACGGUGUGACGCCUGCCCGGUGCCGGAAGGUUAAUUGAUGGGGUCAGCGCAAGCGAAGCUCUUGAUCGAAGCCCCGGUAAACGGCGGCCGUAACUAUAACGGUCCUAAGGUAGCGAAAUUCCUUGUCGGGUAAGUUCCGACCUGCACGAAUGGCGUAAUGAUGGCCAGGCUGUCUCCACCCGAGACUCAGUGAAAUUGAACUCGCUGUGAAGAUGCAGUGUACCCGCGGCAAGACGGAAAGACCCCGUGAACCUUUACUAUAGCUUGACACUGAACAUUGAGCCUUGAUGUGUAGGAUAGGUGGGAGGCUUUGAAGUGUGGACGCCAGUCUGCAUGGAGCCGGCCUUGAAAUACCACCCUUUAAUGUUUGAUGUUCUAACGUGGACCCGUGAUCCGGGUUGCGGACAGUGUCUGGUGGGUAGUUUGACUGGGGCGGUCUCCUCCUAAAGAGUAACGGAGGAGCACGAAGGUUGGCUAAUCCUGGUCGGACAUCAGGAGGUUAGUGCAAUGGCAUAAGCCAGCUUGACUGCGAGCGUGACGGCGCGAGCAGGUGCGAAAGCAGGUCAUAGUGAUCCGGUGGUUCUGAAUGGAAGGGCCAUCGCUCAACGGAUAAAAGGUACUCCGGGGAUAACAGGCUGAUACCGCCCAAGAGUUCAUAUCGACGGCGGUGUUUGGCACCUCGAUGUCGGCUCAUCACAUCCUGGGGCUGAAGUAGGUCCCAAGGGUAUGGCUGUUCGCCAUUUAAAGUGGUACGCGAGCUGGGUUUAGAACGUCGUGAGACAGUUCGGUCCCUAUCUGCCGUGGGCGCUGGAGAACUGAGGGGGGCUGCUCCUAGUACGAGAGGACCGGAGUGGACGCAUCACUGGUGUUCGGGUUGUCAUGCCAAUGGCACUGCCCGGUAGCUAAAUGCGGAAGAGAUAAGUGCUGAAAGCAUCUAAGCACGAAACUUGCCCCGAGAUGAGUUCUCCCUGACCCUUUAAGGGUCCUGAAGGAACGUUGAAGACGACGACGUUGAUAGGCCGGGUGUGUAAGCGCAGCGAUGCGUUGAGCUAACCGGUACUAAUGAACCGUGAGGCUUAACCUU
RNAcentral lists this ribosomal RNA (1574 nucleotides) under Shigella sonnei. Its description in RNAcentral is "partial 23S ribosomal RNA". It matches the Rfam family "Bacterial large subunit ribosomal RNA", at positions 1371 to 2925 of the family's 2925-position model. The record is from RNAcentral. Lineage: Bacteria; Pseudomonadati; Pseudomonadota; Gammaproteobacteria; Enterobacterales; Enterobacteriaceae.